Molecule: small RNA, 27 nt
Filed under: Bombyx mori (domestic silkworm)
Lineage: Eukaryota; Metazoa; Arthropoda; Insecta; Lepidoptera; Bombycidae
Description: ovarian small RNA-20494
Source: RNAcentral
UACAUUGUUGUAUUGAAUGCCCCUUGC